Long non-coding RNA from Vidua macroura (Pin-tailed whydah), 434 nucleotides. RefSeq lists it as uncharacterized. The transcript is spliced from 2 exons. NCBI's taxonomy places the organism in Eukaryota, Metazoa, Chordata, Aves, Passeriformes, Viduidae. The record is from RefSeq and is a predicted model, not a curated record.
CAUCUACAAAACAUAACAUUUUAUUUAUGUUAAGGCAAUGAAUUCUGCUGCUUAAUUAAUUCAGUAAAUAUGUUCUGGAAAAUUACAUGGGUCUUACGGCUGGGAGGAUGCUGUUAUUUAGAACAGGGUUAUCAGGACUGAGCCAUCCCUCACCCAAGGCUACAGCAGAGCACUUUCUGGUUUCUGGAAAAAAAUACUACUUCUUGUGUCCCUCAAAAAUACAGUAUUAUUUAAAAAUAAAUCAAAACACAAUGCAAAUUAUCCAUAACAAACCAAAACAAAGUAAAACCAAAACAACCAAACCAAAAAAAACCCAACUAACCCCCAAACCACAGCAAACCUCUGAAUGAAUUGCAGCAUUACAUACUUAAUUAGACAUUACAGUUAUCCCCCAUACAUCUGGUCAAAUAAAGGAUCCCUGCUCUUUCAUGCUA